AGCAGCCCCGCGGUAAUACGUAGGGUGCAAGCGUUAAUCGGAAUUACUGGGCGUAAAGCGUGUGUAGGCGGUUCGGAAAGAAAGAUGUGAAAUCCCAGGGCUCAACCUUGGAACUGCAUUUUUAACUGCCGAGCUAGAGUAUGUCAGAGGGGGGUAGAAUUCCACGUGUAGCAGUGAAAUGCGUAGAUAUGUGGAGGAAUACCGAUGGCGAAGGCAGCCCCCUGGGAUAAUACUGACGCUCAGACACGAAAGCGUGGGGAGCAAACAGGAUUAGAUACCCUGGUAGUCCACGCCCUAAACGAUGUCAACUAGCUGUUGGGGCCGUUAGGCCUUAGUAGCGCAGCUAACGCGGA
Molecule: ribosomal RNA, 353 nt
Filed under: Alcaligenes faecalis
Lineage: Bacteria; Pseudomonadati; Pseudomonadota; Betaproteobacteria; Burkholderiales; Alcaligenaceae
Description: bacterial SSU rRNA
Rfam family: Bacterial small subunit ribosomal RNA
Source: RNAcentral